UACGGAGGGUGCAAGCGUUAAUCGGAAUUACUGGGCGUAAAGAGUACGUAGGUUGUUCGUUUAGUCAGAUGUGAAAGCCCAGGGCUUAACCUUGGAACUGCAUUUGAUACUGGCGAGCUAGAGUAUGGUAGAGGGGGGUAGAAUUCAUAGUGUAGCGGUGAAAUGCGUAGAUAUUAUGAGGAAUACCGGUGGCGAAGGCGGCCCCCUGGCCCAAUACUGACACUGAGGUACGAAAGCGUGGGGAGCGAACAGG
RNAcentral lists this ribosomal RNA (253 nucleotides) under uncultured prokaryote. Its description in RNAcentral is "partial 16S ribosomal RNA". It matches the Rfam family "Bacterial small subunit ribosomal RNA", at positions 524 to 776 of the family's 1533-position model. The record is from RNAcentral.